This 250-nucleotide ribosomal RNA is filed under the name uncultured bacterium. RNAcentral describes it as "partial 16S ribosomal RNA". It matches the Rfam family "Bacterial small subunit ribosomal RNA", at positions 355 to 598 of the family's 1533-position model. The record is from RNAcentral.
UCGAGAAUUUUUCACAAUGGGGGAAACCCUGAUGGAGCGACGCCGCGUGGGGGAUGAAUGGCUUCGGCCCGUAAACCCCUGUCAUCUGGGAGCAAACCUCCGACCCGAACACGGUCGGAGUUGAUAGUACCAGAAGAGGAAGGGACGGCUAACUCUGUGCCAGCAGCCGCGGUAAUACAGAGGUCCCAAGCGUUGUUCGGAUUCACUGGGCGUAAAGGGUGCGUAGGCGGUCGGUUAAGUCUGAUGUGAA